CGAAUUUUAAUCUUGGUAAUGAGAAUUUACUUUGAUAUUAAAGGUAAAUACUGACCUGAACUGAAUUGAUAAGAAUGAUCUCACAAAGGCAGAACAGGAUUUGUUACAUGUCUAUUCAUGACUUAUGUUUGGUUUGCCACUAUGAGCAGACCCCCCUCCACCAUGGGUGGCAAUUCUUGGAGGAAUCAUCGGGAUCAUUGUGCUCAUGGUUGUAUGUGUUUGCAUCCUGAAGUGUGUGAGGCGGUCAAAGUCGACGGAUUCAAUUCAACAACAGAAUCAGAGUCAAACAGGUGACGAGCUGACGACUGAAGAGCCAGCAAGGAUGAGAGAAGCAGAGGACGAAAACAUCCAUUAUGGAGAGAUUGACUUCUCCAUGCACAGACCUAAAACUUCCUCUGAUUUGCCGCGGGACAGUGGUCAGCAGCAGGAGAUACUGUAUGCACAGGUCAAAGUGUCGAGUACAACAACCAGCUCAACACAGGUUUCUGAUGGCCCAGAGGAUCUCUACGCUCAAGUGAAGAAAAAAUGAGAGUUGUUGGGUUCGUGGAAAGAGAUCACAUUUGAAUGGGAUUCAUACUAAAUGUACCUUUAUUUUUCAGUUAUUGUUAAUGUAGAAAAAGAUCAUGAAGCAUGGACAGGAAAAUGACACAAUGUCUUUUUGUCACUUAUCGACAUGUCCAUAUGUGGGUUCUGACCUCACACAGCUGUUACUAUGGGAUUUAUACAUGUCUGAUAUGUGCAAAUAAAAGCCCAAAGUCUCAGGAACAAGACUCUUAAUGACACCAGAAUUAUUUCUAUACACACAUUAACAAUGCAGUGUGGUU
This 824-nucleotide long non-coding RNA is filed under the name Sparus aurata (gilthead seabream). RNAcentral describes it as "lncRNA (ENSSAUG00010006820.1)". Lineage: Eukaryota; Metazoa; Chordata; Actinopteri; Spariformes; Sparidae. The record is from RNAcentral.